Long non-coding RNA from Dromiciops gliroides (monito del monte), 959 nucleotides. RefSeq lists it as uncharacterized. The record is from RefSeq and is a predicted model, not a curated record. The transcript is spliced from 7 exons. Lineage: Eukaryota; Metazoa; Chordata; Mammalia; Microbiotheria; Microbiotheriidae.
GACUACUUCCUAGCCCAGAUCUCUUCUACUCAUCAUCAAACCGGGCCUCAUAAUGCAAGCUAUAGCCUCAGCUUUUGUUUUUGAGAGGAAAAUUCUUCCUUCGUUUUGUUGAAAAAUACGAAUACAGAAACACAAUCUACCCGAGAGGUGGAGGGAGACCAAACCUGAACAUGGAAGAAAAGGGGGACGACAGAGAAGAGUACAAACAAACAAAAAAGCUUCCUUCAACCAGGAGACUACAUUUCCCAGAGAGCUAUGCGGGGCCAGGAUGUACGUAAUGCGCAGGCUCCGGGGCAUUUCUCCUUUAUAUAAGGAAGGUCCGCGGCCUCUCUUCCUCUUUUUCGUCUCCGCUUUCUUUGUGUGUGUUUUGCAGCGUUCUUCAUCCGCAGCCAUCGUGGUCCAGGAAUGCCCCCCCUUGCUGGACUCCUUCUAGAAGUAAGAGGGAGGCAUGUUACGGGGUUUUGGAGACCUUGGUGUUUAGGCACCAUGACCCCAUGCUCGAUUCUCUUCUGGUUUCAUCAGACUUGAUGCCCAUUCUGGCGAUUUGAUUUGGACCAGAUUGUUGCAUUUGCCUAACAGUCCCUGGGAGUAUUGACUUGAUGCCCAUUCUGGCGAUUUGAUUUGGACCAGAUAGUUGCAUUUGCCUAACAGUCCCUGGGAGUAUUGGUUAGCUCUUUAAAUGAGCAAAAGUUUAGGGUGUAAGUGAUGUCUGACACCUUACAGACCAGAAGAAUGAUUGAUGUUCAAAGUAGCCACUUUCAUUAAAGGUACUUAAGAUUGGUGGAUGACUAAGUGAAAUGAAGAGAAAUUUGGAGACCUGAAAAAUCUGAGGUAUGGCCUUAGAUGAAGAGACAACCUUUGAUUAUGAAUAUGAAACAUGGACCUGACUGUUCCAGCUGUUAUUAACACAAUAGUCUUGUUUUACAUUUUGCAAAGAAAUAAAAAAUUUUAACUUUGAG